UGAGGAAUAUUGGUCAAUGGACGGAAGUCUGAACCAGCCAUGCCGCGUGCAGGAUGAAUGUGCUAUGCAUUGUAAACUGCUUUUGUACGAGGGUAAACACAGAUACGCGUAUCUGCUUGAAAGUAUCGUACGAAUAAGGAUCGGCUAACUCCGUGCCAGCAGCCGCGGUAAUACGGAGGAUCCGAGCGUUAUCCGGAUUUAUUGGGUUUAAAGGGUGCGUAGGCUGUUUUUUAAGUUAGAGGUGAAAGCUCGACGCUCAACGUCGAAAUUGCCUCUGAUACUGAGAGACUAGAGUGUAGUUGCGGAAGGCGGAAUGUGUGGUGUAGCGGUGAAAUGCUUAGAUAUCACACAGAACACCGAUUGCGAAGGCAGCUUUCCAAGCUAUUACUGACGCUGAGGCACGAAAGCGUGGGGAGCGAACAGGAUUAGAUACCCUGGUAGUCCACGCAGUAAACGAUGAUAACUCGUUGCCGGCGAUACACAGUCGGUGACUUAGCGAAAGCGUUAAGUUAUCCACCUGGGGAGUACGUUCGCAAGAAUGAAACUCAAAGGAAUUGACGGGGGCCCGCACAAGCGGAGGAACAUGUGGUUUAAUUCGAUGAUACGCGAGGAACCUUACCCGGGCUUGAAAGUUAGCGACGGACCGAGAAAUCGGUCUUCCCUUCGGGGCGCGAAACUAGGUGCUGCAUGGUUGUCGUCAGCUCGUGCCGUGAGGUGUCGGGUUAAGUCCCAUAACGAGCGCAACCCCUACCGUUAGUUGCCAUCAGGUCAAGCUGGGCACUCUAGCGGGACUGCCGGUGUAAGCCGAGAGGAAGGUGGGGAUGACGUCAAAUCAGCACGGCCCUUACGUCCGGGGCGACACACGUGUUACAAUGGCCGGUACAGAGGGUAGCUACCUGGUGACAGGAUGCCAAUCUCGAAAGCCGGUCUCAGUUCGGAUUGGAGGCUGAAAUUCGCCUUCAUGAAGCUGGAAUUGCUAGUAAUGGCAGGUCAGCAUACUGCCGUGAAUACGUUCCC
This 1017-nucleotide ribosomal RNA is filed under the name uncultured bacterium. Its description in RNAcentral is "bacterial SSU rRNA". It matches the Rfam family "Bacterial small subunit ribosomal RNA", at positions 355 to 1375 of the family's 1533-position model. The record is from RNAcentral.